AUCAUGUCCAUCUACAAGGAGCCGCCCCCGGGGAUGUUCGUGGUGCCCGACCCCCACGACAUGACCAAGAUCCACGCGCUGAUCACGGGCCCGUUCGACACCCCCUACGAGGGCGGCUUCUUCCUGUUCCUGUUCCGCUGCCCGCCCGACUACCCCAUCCACCCGCCCCGCGUCAAACUCAUGACCACGGGCAACAACACCGUCAGGUUCAACCCCAACUUCUACCGCAACGGCAAGGUCUGCCUCAGCAUCCUGGGCACGUGGACAGGCCCGGCCUGGAGCCCGGCCCAGAGCAUCUCGUCGGUGCUGAUCUCCAUCCAGUCCCUGAUGACCGAGAACCCGUACCACAACGAGCCCGGCUUCGAGCAGGAGCGGCACCCCGGGGACAGCAAGAACUACAACGAGUGCAUCCGGCACGAGACCAUCCGCGUGGCCGUGUGUGACAUGCUGGAGGGGAAGUGUCCCUGCCCCGAGCCCCUGCGGGGGGUGAUGGAGAAAUCCUUCAUGGAGUACCUGGACUUCUACGAGGGCGUCUGCAAGGAGAGGCUGCACCUGCAGGGCCAGACCAUGCAGGACCCUUUCGGGGAGAAGCGCGGUCACUUCGAUUACCAGGCGCUGCUGGGGCGGCUGCAGGCGCUGCGGGCGCGGCUGCAGGAGCGGCAGCAGCAGCAGCAGCAGCAGCAGCAGCAGCAGGACAGCGCCGAGCUGGACUCGGAGAGCAGCUCCUCAGAGGCCGAGCCCGAGCCCCAGGGCUGCCCCAAGGCCUAGGGAGGGUCCGGCCCGGUCCGGCCCGGGACUGCAGCACAGCCAGGCCGGGGCGGGGAGAGCCGCAGGCUCCUCCUCCAUCCCUCCCUCCUGCCUUCCUUCCAUCCAUCCAUCCAUCCAUCCAUCCCUCCCGCCUUCCAUCCCUCCCCGACGGCCAGGAGAGUUCCCCGAGGAUUCCCCGAGGAGAAUUUCCCCCCCCAAAAAAAAAAAAAGAGACAAAGCCAAGCUCGGGACAGGCUCCUCUUGGACAAAGGCAAACCAAAGAGAAAGGAAUUCUCCCUGCUGGAAUUUGGGGCUCCAUCCCCAAAAUUUUACUCUUUGGAGACUCCCUGUGGAAAAAUGGGAACGGCAGGAAUCCAUGGAUUGGUUCAGCCUGGAGCUUUGGGGAAGGGAGAGGAUGAGGAGAAAUGCUCGUGGUUUAUUUCUGGAAUAUCCAGCUGAGCUUUUGGCAGGGCUUUCCUCCUGCUGGAGCUGCUUUGGAAUUCUCUGUCCCC
This is an RNA transcript of Serinus canaria (Common canary), 1259 nucleotides long. It is a transcript of the gene named ubiquitin conjugating enzyme E2 Z, with no coding region annotated. The record is from RefSeq and is a predicted model, not a curated record. The transcript is spliced from 7 exons. NCBI's taxonomy places the organism in Eukaryota, Metazoa, Chordata, Aves, Passeriformes, Fringillidae.